Molecule: ribosomal RNA, 391 nt
Filed under: Stramenopiles sp. MAST-3L
Lineage: Eukaryota
Description: partial small subunit ribosomal RNA
Rfam family: Eukaryotic small subunit ribosomal RNA
Source: RNAcentral
AUUCCAGCUCCAAUAGCGUAUAUUAAAGUUGUUGCAGUUAAAAAGCUCGUAGUUGGAUUUCUGGACUGGUCGGCCGGUCCGCGACAUGUUCGUGUGUACCUGGUGCGAUUAGUCCAUCCUUGAUGGGAACUAUGGUCACCGUUAAUUCGGUGCUGUAGGGAACAUCGUCGUUUACUGUGAGAAAAAUAGAGUGUUUAAAGCAGGCGUUUGCUCUGAAUACGUUAGCAUGGAAUAAUAAGAUAGGACUUUGGUACUAUUUUGUUGGUUGCAGCCCAAGGUAAUGAUUAAUAGGGACAGUUGGGGGUAUUCAUAUUUAAUUGUCAGAGGUGAAAUUCUUGGAUUUAUGAAAGAUGAACUUAUGCGAAAGCAUUUACCAAGGAUGUUUUCAUCA